CAAAACACAACUUUAUAGUGAAGUAUUUCAUUUACAUUGAGGGUGGUUCUGUGCGAUUCAGGAUGUUUUGA
This 71-nucleotide transfer RNA is filed under the name Chloracris brunneri. RNAcentral describes it as "tRNA-Val". The record is from RNAcentral. Lineage: Eukaryota; Metazoa; Arthropoda; Insecta; Orthoptera; Tettigoniidae.